Molecule: long non-coding RNA, 208 nt
Filed under: Elaeis guineensis (African oil palm)
Lineage: Eukaryota; Viridiplantae; Streptophyta; Magnoliopsida; Arecales; Arecaceae
Description: long non-coding RNA (EGUI_LNC067747)
Source: RNAcentral
UUCCUCUUCUUGCUUUGUUUGUUCAGCUUCCGAGGGUUUAUUUGCAAUCUCUCCCGAUCUUUCGGGAUUUCCUUCUUUCUUUUCCCUUGCUGCAGGCACGGACGUAGGAGUUGCCCGGGCGGCCCUCGCCGUCGACGUCCCUUACGACGCCGAGCCUUCAGUCCUCCGAGCCCUUUCGAGAAGUUCUCCCAUCGGGGCUUCUGCCCCG